CGGGGCGUAGCUCAGCCCGGAUAGAGCGCACGGUUCGGGUCCGUGAGGCCAGCGGUUCAAAUCCGCUCGCCCCGACUA
This 78-nucleotide transfer RNA is filed under the name Candidatus Brevifilum fermentans. RNAcentral's name for it is "Brevefilum fermentans tRNA-Pro". It matches the Rfam family "tRNA". Rfam says of the family: Transfer RNA (tRNA) molecules are approximately 80 nucleotides in length. The record is from RNAcentral. Lineage: Bacteria; Bacillati; Chloroflexota; Anaerolineae; Anaerolineales; Anaerolineaceae.